CACACACACUCUCUCUCUCUCUCUUCGUCGAUGGGCGUCGAAGGAGCCGAGAAGAAACCUCCUGUUUUCCUUCUACAUUUCCCGCAGUUCCUCAGUUGACCAUCAAUUUGGGAGAAAAGCUCAUGAAAGCUCGGUAGACUUUCGUCCCAAAAUUGAACUCUUCGAAUGGGAGAAUUUGUGCGAAGAAACACUAUUUGGUGGUGGAGGCUCUUUCACUCAGGGGCACGGCUUCCUCUCCACUUGUUUUCAGCAUUUUGGGUAGGUAAAACAACUUCUCCUUCUUUGGAUUCCUGGGUUGUGUUUUCUGUAGAGAAUUCGUUGCUAGGUUGCCUAAUUGCCCACCAACUGUUUGAUUCAUGGACGCAGAAGUGUGAAUUCUAGUACCACUGUUUGAAACUUCAUUGUUGUCUUGAAUUCGAUUAAAGGGCAAGUGGACAUUGUUUGAAGGAUUCCUUUUUGGUUCUUUUGGCAAGUCUAGACUUUUGUGGAUUCAUUAGAUUCUCUUCACAAUGCACCCCUGAGGUUUACUUGUAAACAGUUUCAAUCUUUGAUGUUUAGAAGACCAAAUGCCACAUUUACUUGAUCCAUGUGAAUUCGUGCCA
This is a long non-coding RNA of Diospyros lotus (date-plum), 602 nucleotides long. RefSeq lists it as uncharacterized. The transcript has 3 exons. The record is from RefSeq and is a predicted model, not a curated record. Lineage: Eukaryota; Viridiplantae; Streptophyta; Magnoliopsida; Ericales; Ebenaceae.